This 253-nucleotide ribosomal RNA is filed under the name uncultured bacterium. Its description in RNAcentral is "partial 16S ribosomal RNA". It matches the Rfam family "Bacterial small subunit ribosomal RNA", at positions 524 to 776 of the family's 1533-position model. The record is from RNAcentral.
GACAGAGGAUGCAAGCGUUAUCCGGAAUGAUUGGGCGUAAAGCGUCUGUAGGUGGCUUUUCAAGUCCGCCGUCAAAUCCCAGGGCUCAACCCUGGACAGGCGGUGGAAACUACCAAGCUGGAGUAUGGUAGGGGCAGAGGGAAUUUCCGGUGGAGCGGUGAAAUGCAUUGAGAUCGGAAAGAACACCAACGGCGAAAGCGCUCUGCUGGGCCGACACUGACACUGAGAGGCGAAAGCUAGGGGAGCAAAUGGG